RNAcentral lists this unclassified non-coding RNA (338 nucleotides) under soil metagenome. RNAcentral describes it as "partial contains 5.8S ribosomal RNA, internal transcribed spacer 2, and large subunit ribosomal RNA". The stretch from base 1 to 120 matches the Rfam family "5.8S ribosomal RNA", at positions 35 to 154 of the family's 154-position model. The record is from RNAcentral.
GAUGAAGAACGCAGCGAAAUGCGAUAAGUAAUGUGAAUUGCAGAAUUCAGUGAAUCAUCGAAUCUUUGAACGCACAUUGCGCCCGCCAGUAUUCUGGCGGGCAUGCCUGUUCGAGCGUCAUUUCAACCAUCAAGCCCCCCCGGCAUGUGUUGGGGACCUGCGGCUGCCGCAGGCCCUGAAAAGCAGUGGCGGGCUCGCUGUCACACCGAGCGUAGUAGAUCUCAUCUCGCUCAGGGCGUGCUGCGGGUUCCGGCCGUUAAACCACCUUCAUAACCCAAGGUUGACCUCGGAUCAGGUAGGAAGACCCGCUGAACUUAAGCAUAUCAAUAAGCGGAGGA